Long non-coding RNA from Electrophorus electricus (electric eel), 383 nucleotides. RefSeq lists it as uncharacterized. The record is from RefSeq and is a predicted model, not a curated record. NCBI's taxonomy places the organism in Eukaryota, Metazoa, Chordata, Actinopteri, Gymnotiformes, Gymnotidae.
CAGAGAGAGUCAGAGAGAGCCUACUGGUAUAAAGGCAGCCUUUGUUCUGGAGGUCACUACAGGUCAUGGACCACACAAAUGUGGUGCUGGUCACAUUCUUCUAGAUGGUCCACCAUCCUCCAAGACCAUGGCUGAUGGAAGCAGUCCUUCUCUCAUUCGGCGAGGUUGGAACAUCUAAUGGAUUCUGAUAAGAGAUGUUUCCCCUCUGCUGAUGGCAAGCCUUCGAUUGUCUUUUUAAAACUGUGACAGAGGCCGACAGCAUCCUUAAAGGAACCGUCCACCAUCCACCAAUUAGAUCUUUUUUCAUGCCAGCCGGAGUCUGGGAAGCUGAUCAAUGGCUUCCCCCCCCACACGGCCUGAAGACCCAGUUAGUCCUGGAACAG